AUUGAACGCUGGCGGCAUGCUUUACACAUGCAAGUCGAACGGUAACAGGGUGCUUGCACCGCUGACGAGUGGCCAACGGGUGAGUAAUGCGUCGGAACGCACCGAGUAAUGGGGAUAACGCAGCGAAAGCUGUGCUAAUACCGCAUACGCUCUGAGGAGGAAAGCGGGGGACCUUCGGGCCUCGCGUUAUUCGAGCGGCCGACGUCUGAUUAGCUAGUAGGUGAGGUAAGAGCUCACCUAGGCGACGAUCAGUAGCGGGUCUGAGAGGAUGAUCCGCCACACUGGGACUGAGACACGGCCCAGACUCCUACGGGAGGCAGCAGUGGGGAAUUUUGGACAAUGGGCGCAAGCCUGAUCCAGCCAUGCCGCGUGUCUGAAGAAGGCCUUCGGGUUGUAAAGGACUUUUGUCAGGGAGGAAAUCCUUAGCGCUAAUACCGUUGGGGGAUGACAGUACCUGAAGAAUAAGCACCGGCUAACUACGUGCCAGCCGCCGCAGUAA
This 499-nucleotide ribosomal RNA is filed under the name uncultured bacterium. RNAcentral's name for it is "partial 16S ribosomal RNA". It matches the Rfam family "Bacterial small subunit ribosomal RNA", at positions 30 to 523 of the family's 1533-position model. The record is from RNAcentral.